Molecule: ribosomal RNA, 119 nt
Filed under: Pteropus alecto (black flying fox)
Lineage: Eukaryota; Metazoa; Chordata; Mammalia; Chiroptera; Pteropodidae
Source: RNAcentral
GUCUACGGCCAUGCCACCCUGAACGAGCCCGAUCCCAUCUGAUCUCGGAAGCUAAGCAGGGCCUGGCCUGGUUAGUACUUGGAUGGGAGACCACCUAGGAAGACCAGGUACUAUAGGUG